CACAGAGUGGGAGGUAGCUUCCGGUUUUGCGGGUGGGCGGAGAAGGCAGAGCUAGUCAAACCGAAACCGAGCGUGCGCAGUGGCGGCCGACGUGGCCCAGGUUUAUCUGGGCUCCCGCAUUUUUAAAGUGACCUUCUCGGACAAAGGGGCAGGAGUCUGAGGAGGGCGACCUGGAAAGGUUUUAGCCUUCUCAAGAACUUCUCAGUCCCGGGCAUGGUGGCACACGCCUGUAAUCCCAGCAUUAGGGAGGCUGGGGCAAGAGGAUCGAGUUCAAGGCCAGUCUGGGCUGCAUAGUGAGUUCAAGGACACCCUGAACUACACAGCAAGACCUUGUCUCGAAAAAAUAGGAACCCAGUCGCAGGCAAAUUGGGAUAGCUGGUCACCUUGGAAAAAGCAAUCUGAGGCCAGCAGAAGUGAGACCUUGAUUUAUGGAGAGGCUCUUGGUGCCAGUGGCCCCACGCCCCUGCAGUUACUUCAUUCCUGGGCUUCGUGGGGAUUUGAGGAGCUCAGAGUUACGGAGGAACAAUAAAUUCCCGGGCAGCUGUACCUCCACCCUGAACUUUGGGAUUCCAGAAAGGCACAACUGUUGAAGGUCUUAGAGGUUUUCAUGGCCUACUUCUGACUUCUCUUUCCAAGUUUUCUUCACCCUCAGACCUUCGUUUUUCUGAUUUGUUGCCGUUUGUCCGGAGAGUGACAUAUUGAUCUUCACCAGACCUUCUGCUCCAUAUUUAUAUUUGUACCUUAUCACUUACAAAUGUGUUUACAGAAACUGUUCAUCUCGUUCUCAUGAGAAGAUUGAAAUAAUUGUUCCCAUUUUAUAGAUUUUCAUGGUCUUCUUUUUUUGUUGUUGUUGUCCAAACAAACACUGCAGAUCUUGGUCUUCUGAUAGGAGGAAAGAUGAGCCACCUUGGUGGGAAUGUUGCCCCAGGAACCCGUUUUUCCCCUAGCGCUGGAAAUCAAGUCUAGAAUUAAAAAUAAAAACCAGAAAGCAUUACUGUAUAUUGUAUCUACUGCCAUUUGUGAAGUCAACUAUAUUUUAGUGUCUUAUAA
This is a long non-coding RNA of Heterocephalus glaber (naked mole-rat), 1050 nucleotides long. RefSeq lists it as uncharacterized. The record is from RefSeq and is a predicted model, not a curated record. NCBI's taxonomy places the organism in Eukaryota, Metazoa, Chordata, Mammalia, Rodentia, Bathyergidae.